This 72-nucleotide transfer RNA is filed under the name Ornithorhynchus anatinus (platypus). It matches the Rfam family "tRNA". Rfam says of the family: Transfer RNA (tRNA) molecules are approximately 80 nucleotides in length. The record is from Rfam by way of RNAcentral. Lineage: Eukaryota; Metazoa; Chordata; Mammalia; Monotremata; Ornithorhynchidae.
AGCAGCGUGGCUCAGUGGAAAGAGCCUGGGCUUUGGAGUCAGAGGUCAUAGGUUCGAAUCCCAGCUCUGCCA